UACGUAGGGGGCAAGCGUUGUUCGGAAUUAUUGGGCGUAAAGCGCGUGUAGGCGGCUUUGCAAGUCGGGUGUGAAAGCCCUCAGCUCAACUGGGAGGGUGCGCCGAAUACUGAAUGACUAGAGUGCGGGAGAGGUGAGUGGAAUUCCUGGUGUAGCGGUGAAAUGCGUAGAUAUCAGGAGGAACACCGGUGGUGUAGACGGCUCACUGGACCGUAACUGACGCUGAGACACGAAAGCGUGGGUAGCAAACAGG
This 253-nucleotide ribosomal RNA is filed under the name uncultured bacterium. RNAcentral describes it as "partial 16S ribosomal RNA". It matches the Rfam family "Bacterial small subunit ribosomal RNA", at positions 524 to 776 of the family's 1533-position model. The record is from RNAcentral.